CUUAAAAGUGGUGGUGUUGGUGCUGGCAGUGACCUGGAAUGGAUUAUGGACAAGUUUCUCAAAACAUCAGCAAACAAACUAUGCGAGCCGGAGGCUACAAGUCCUAAGCGUCAAGAGGAAGCUUCAAGUCCUAAGCGUCGAGGGGAAGCUACGAGUCUUAAGCGUCGAAGGGAAACAUCCGUCGCGUGGGAGGACUUUAAAAAAUCGAAAGGCAAACCAGAAGCAACAUGCAAAAUAUGCGGUAAGCGGUACAAAACUGCAGGAAAUACAUCAAAUCUGAUCGACCACCUUAAACGUUCACAUCCCGGCUAUCACAAGCCGAACGAUAAUGCUGCGCAGGCAUCCCUUUCCACUUUUUUCGAAAAAGAAAAUUUGUAUUCCAAUGAUUCUGUAAGGAAAGUAGGGAUUGACAAAAGGGUUAUGCUCAUGAUACCAAUAAUUGCCGAGUUGUAUCAAAAAAUGAAUUUAAUAAAGUGCUCUUCGAAAGCGGCUCAGGAUGCUCAUGACUUGAUCAAAAUUCAUAUCAAAGAACGAUUUUAUCAUUAUGAAUCACGAACUGUCCCUAGAAUUGCGACACUGCUAGAUCCACGCUUCAAAAAUGGAAGGCUUUUUUCUACCAUCGAAUGCUGAAAAAGCUGCUAAGGCUUUGGAGUUGAAGCUCUACGAAAUAUUGUCUAUGAAUUCGAAUGCUAGUUCCACAGCUCCAGCACCACCACAACCAAGCUUUUAUCCUUACCUGCAAGGUAAACUGUCUAAUAAAGUUACAUCAAACAGGGCACACUCAAUAAUACUAAUGCGGCAGUACUUUGAGCAAAAAAACGAUGAUGAAAGCAAGGACCCUUUACUACACUGGAAGAUGACCAAUGAUGAUUUUCAAGCCUUCAAGGCCCUCGCUAAAGAAUAUCUGUGCGUCCCAGCAUCCUCCUGUGCCUCCGAAAGGACUUUUAGUAAGGCAGGACAAAUAAUUUCAGACCGUCG
Long non-coding RNA from Drosophila subpulchrella, 978 nucleotides. RefSeq lists it as uncharacterized. Lineage: Eukaryota; Metazoa; Arthropoda; Insecta; Diptera; Drosophilidae. The record is from RefSeq and is a predicted model, not a curated record. The transcript has 3 exons.